Molecule: long non-coding RNA, 928 nt
Filed under: Helianthus annuus (common sunflower)
Lineage: Eukaryota; Viridiplantae; Streptophyta; Magnoliopsida; Asterales; Asteraceae
Description: hypothetical non coding rna
Source: RNAcentral
UUGGAACACCGAUAACCACCGCCAACAAUCGCCCCGCCCCAAAUCUAGGUCCGGCGACAUCAACAAUUAGGUCAUCGCUCUCCACCACUCUACUGCGAACAUAAGCAUCCACCGUCGGACCACCGUUGUGGCGGAAAGAGCCAACAUAUUUAAGGAUGAGAUCGGCUUGGGAAAUCAUGCGACAGAGAGGCGGUGUGUCUGUGGUGUAGACGAAGAAGUAAGGAGACGACUGGGGGGAUUCUUGAGGCUGAAGAAGACGACUGCAGGAGGCACUCCUGCAGCGUGUUUAGGGUUUUUUUUGGGAGCCCUAACAGCUAUGGCGGCGGCAGUUCCAAAAGCCGAAUAAAAGGGGUCAGAUGUGAAUUCCGGCUGCAAGCGAACUAGGGUUCCUGUGAUUCGGUGAAGGCUACAUGUAACCAACCCUUGCCCUGUCUAAAGCCUCCACUGACAUACGAGGAAAAACUUGAAUCUGAAUUUGGAGAUUUACAGAAUCUGUUUGUUGCUCGGUCUUUGAAGCUGACGAAGCUCAAUGUAGGAGCCGAUCCGAAAGUUUGCAAACAUUUUAUUUAUGGAGUUCAAUCAUAUUCUACUGUUUGGUCGCUUUGGAAAGAAAGAAAUAGCAAAAAUUUUAAGGUCAUAAAGAGAUUGAUUGAUAAGAGUGCAAGAGGAGAUCAUCUCCUCUCUGUUCAACUGGAUCAAAUUCAAAUCCAAGCAAGAGAAUUGGAGCUGGAACAACUGGGUUUUUGACCCUCUUUGUUUGUAGCUAUAUUGUCCUCUUUUUUUCUCCUGUAUCCAGUCAUUCGCAAGAAGGCAUGUUUGCCCUUUUUUCUAUACUUACUAUUCUAAAAAAAAUUGUACUCAUGAUUUGUACAUGUUUGAUGUUGAAAAAUCAAUUUGGUCUAAAACCCCGCCGCACCGCGGCGGGUUA